RNAcentral lists this transfer RNA (72 nucleotides) under Camelus bactrianus (Bactrian camel). It matches the Rfam family "tRNA". Rfam says of the family: Transfer RNA (tRNA) molecules are approximately 80 nucleotides in length. Their secondary structure includes four short double-helical elements and three loops (D, anti-codon, and T loops). RNAcentral also lists the same sequence under 2 other names. Lineage: Eukaryota; Metazoa; Chordata; Mammalia; Artiodactyla; Camelidae. The record is from Rfam by way of RNAcentral.
AGAGGCAUAGCUCAGUGGUAGAGCGUGUGCUUAGCAUGCCCAAGGUCCUGGGUUCAAUCCCCAGUGCCUUCA